AUUUCGCGUUAGCAUUCACACUAGCUGAGUAACGAGUAUCUAAUAGUCGGGGUACUUGGCUAUAGCAUUCUCUCUUGUUUUAUAUUCUAUUUCUAAUGUAUCUAUGUACACAUGUACUUAUGUACAAAUCAUUUCAAUUGGUUUCUUUCAAAUUAUUAAUUUAUAAAUAUUUGAUUAUUAGUGUAACCUGAAAAUUAAGUCGACGUUAUCUACACUUUUGUACUCGCAAACGUGAUUACAAACGCAACUCAAAGAGUAAAAGGUAAUCUCUAAAAAUAAGGUUCAAGAUAACGUUUCUGGCGCUAUAUAAAAAAUACAUUCUUUAUAACGAGCUUCGAUAUCGGAGUACUAUAAAUCGACGCAGUUGAGACUAAACUUGUGCCUCGUUUCUUAUCAGUGGUUCGGUCCCUAUCAAGUUCAUCCACAGUAAAGCAGUAUUAUCAAACACUAUUGAAAUCUGUACAUAUUACAAUAAAAGGCGUUUAUCCUUAAAUUAAAUUAUCUUAUAGUACGUGAUGAAAAUACAUUUGUCAAUGAAAAUUCGAACAAGUGCGAAAGUUGUGCUUUGAAUAUUUCUAUUGUACCUUAGUUUUGAUUUUACUUGCCCUUUAAUUCUAAUUUAUUAUUAUGCACUAAUAUUUAGCAGCGUUUUAGUUUGGUCAACAUCAGGAAACAAAAAAGUUGCGAAAGCUUCAUCUCGCUUUUGUAGUUCCUGAGAUCUCAACGUUCAUACGGACGGACGGACGGACGAACAUGUGAUCCUGAUCAAGAAUAUAUAUACUUUUAUUAUUAUUGUUAUACCUUAAAUUUCUGCUCAUGAAAUUAUUUUAUUACCUAUAAUAAAAAUCGAACCGGAAGUGAUCAGCGAAAAAGGGCACGUGCCUUUCAGAAAAGUAAUCUGUCUUUGCAAGAUGCAAAAGCACUUAAGCAAAAUCUGUUUCUCGGAAUGUGGUACUUCUUAUCACAACGGACCAAUUAAAGGAGAUUGUUCUAAAACAGUUGUUGAAGCAUGCCAAAGAAAAUGGAUGAAUAAUGGAAUUUUCCUUAGUUGUGUUGUGAUUUGACAAAGAAAACGCAUAUAUGUAUGUAAGUUUGUACAAAUUUUGUCUUAAUACACCAACUGAUUUACACUAAACAACUAAAAAACUUCUUCAAAAAUCGUUAUUUUUGUUUUGCCCGGGAAUUGAAUUUAGCAAAUGCACUCUUGACGAUCAUUCUAAGUUAUUUCAAAGAGAAUGGCUGUGCUUGGCAAAAAUAUUGUUGAGUAAUUCGGAAGAGGAAUUAAUGUUGUUAAUUAAAGCAGAGUUAAUAAAAGAUAAUAAGUUGGAGCUUGUAGUGGCGACUGAAGCUAUUAUGUUGAAACAUCCUGACAGCUUGAUCAUAAAUGCAGUAUUAGUCAUCGGGAAUAUACUAGACGAGAUGCAAAUCUUUAUCAGCUGAACCAGGAAAGUUUUGAAUAGCUUGCUUAUCGCAAAUGGAGUGAUUUUCAGAUGAUCAUGAUUUCCGCCGAUGGCCUAGACUCCGGCUUGAGUUUCCAUGAAGUCAAGUCGUGAAAAUUUUGCCACCGAGCUAGAAUUGUUUUUUGGAAAAUUAGAACCUGCGGGCCUGAAGAAAAAUAUUUAAAAGUGCGAAAAUAUAAUAAUCAAGUGAGUUUUCCUCGCCGCAAAACAUUUUUUUUGUGUGUUUUCUCAGGCGGAAACUUAAUCUGGAAAAUUCUUAGCUUGCCGCAGCCAUCGUGCAGUAGCGCCACCAACCAGACCCCAAGGUUGUUCAACUGGGGCAGUCAAACGUGGUCAAGAAUAAAAUAACUGGAGUCAAGCCGUCUCGCGGAUCACCCUUUCGUGCCGUCGCGGGGAGCACCUCGUCGAGCUCCCGUGGAUCACCCUUUUCCAUCGCUUAACAGAAGCCUCGAAGCCAUACACAAAAAAUCUGCGAUUUUUAUUUAAUUCAAUUGCUGGAAAUUGCUGCGCCGGGAGAUCGUUCUUUCGCCGAGGAUUCAAAUUGAAUUUGGCCAGUUUCUCUGCUAUGUUCAUUUGUUUUACGAGAGUAAAGACGGAGAACGAAAAUUUUGUGACCUUCAAGAAAACCAAUUAAAACAAACUUCAAAAAUUUCAUAAAA
Drosophila sechellia is the source of this 2119-nucleotide long non-coding RNA. RefSeq lists it as uncharacterized. The transcript has 3 exons. NCBI's taxonomy places the organism in Eukaryota, Metazoa, Arthropoda, Insecta, Diptera, Drosophilidae. The record is from RefSeq and is a predicted model, not a curated record.